Mastomys coucha (southern multimammate mouse) is the source of this 107-nucleotide small nuclear RNA. NCBI's taxonomy places the organism in Eukaryota, Metazoa, Chordata, Mammalia, Rodentia, Muridae. The record is from RefSeq and is a predicted model, not a curated record.
GUGUUCACUUCAGCAGCACAUAAACUGAAAUUGGAACGAUACAGAGAAGAUUAGCAUGACCCCUGCACAAGGAUGACAUUCAAAUUCGUGAAGCAUUCCAUAUUUUC